RNAcentral lists this ribosomal RNA (483 nucleotides) under uncultured bacterium. Its description in RNAcentral is "partial 16S ribosomal RNA". It matches the Rfam family "Bacterial small subunit ribosomal RNA", at positions 28 to 523 of the family's 1533-position model. The record is from RNAcentral.
GAUGAACGCUGGCGGCGUGCCUAAUACAUGCAAGUCGAGCGAACCACUUCGGUGGUGAGCGGCGAACGGGUGAGUAACACGUAGGUGAUCUGCCCAUCAGACGGGGACAACGAUUGGAAACGAUCGCUAAUACCGGAUAGGACGAAAGUUUAAAGGUGCUUCUGGCACCGCUGAUGGAUGAGCCUGCGGCGCAUUAGCUAGUUGGUAGGGUAAAGGCCUACCAAGGCGACGAUGCGUAGCCGACCUGAGAGGGUGAACGGCCACACUGGGACUGAGACACGGCCCAGACUCCUACGGGAGGCAGCAGUAGGGAAUCGUCGGCAAUGGGCGAAGGCCUGACCGAGCAACGCCGCGUGAAUGAUGAAGGCCUUCGGGUUGUAAAAUUCUGUUAUAAGGGAAGAACGACUUUAGUAGGAAAUGGCUAGAGUGUGACGGUACCUUAUGAGAAAGCCACGGCUAACUACGUGCCAGCCGCCGCGGUAA